UAGGCCCGUAUUUUUUUACUGUAUUUUCUUAUUUAUCAUCAAUAUUUGAGCUUUUUAGUGGUGUUUUUCGUACUCAGCUUUCAAAUUUACCCUAUGUACAUCUAUUUCCAGUCAUUUUGUCUUAAUUUUUUUACCAGUUAUCUUUCUCUCUCUUGCCUAUAGGAACUGUCAAAAUGGUGAUAUUUCCUUCAGUAACCAGCUUUUUUCCCAUCAAAACACCCCUAUUUUCUUUGUAAAAUAUCAAUUAUGGGGUAGGGCUUGGGACCCUUUUUCUGAAGAAAUUACCAGUAUUAUUGGUUAUCAGUGGAAUUUUCUUCAUCGUUAACUAUGAAGGCUGGAAUAAGAACAUAGUAGCUAUUGAAUUCGUUUAAUUGGAAAUAUGGAACGUAAAGGUUGUGAUUUAACAAGCGAAGAACAAAAGGCUCGAGUUAAGAAGUACAAUGACAGUCGAAGAAAAGGAAUGAAAUCUUUCGGACUAUUUGCUAGUCGUGCGGAUAACUCAGGAGACGGAAAAGUUCUGAACUUGUAGCUCAAAGUAGGAAUAAGCAAAAGAGAGAUGAAAUUUUUUAUCGGUGGCCAGAUAUCCAUGAUCAACCAGCUCAUUCAUUUACGGGGUCACCUGGGACUUGCAAGCUAGGGAGCGAGGUUACAACGCCUUUGACUAUUAUAAUGCAAACGCCCAGCUGAAGCAGGUCAUUGACCAGAUUGCUUCAGGAUUCUUCCGCCCAAGCAACCCCGAAGAGUUCUGUGAUAUCUACAACAACCUUAUGUACCACGAUUGUUUCUUCUGUCCGGCUGAUUAUGACGACUACAUGGCCGCCCAAGAAAGGGUUAACGAGGCCUACAAGGACCAGAGCGUCUGGAUGAAGAUGUGUAUCCACAACAUUGCUUCAUCUGGUAAAUUCUCCAGUGACAGGACUAUCGCCGAAUACGCAUGUGAAAUUUUGGGUGUUGAGCCUACGUGGGAUAAGUUCCCUGCUCCUCACGAGCCUAUUGAGGAAGGCAAAUGAAAUGUUGAAGCGUCUAUUUUGUCACAUUUGCAUAUUAUAGGAGGAAAAGUUUGCAAAACGUGUUCACAGUAAUCAUCACACAAUCAUGUUACAACUCGACUAAUCUUCUGUAAGUGGAAGAGUUGUAACCCGAUUGAAUAAUGUGUGGGAAAAGAACGAUCUUGUAAAUCUUUUAAAGCCGUCUCUCCAGACUGUUGUAGCCACAAUGUCAUUUAUUGUUGAUGUUUGUUAUUUUUCUUGAAUUCUAGCUUCGAUGUUGUUCUGUGUCUGUCACAGAAAGAACUUUAAUGUGAGUUUCCACUUCUUCUCUUACCAUUUUAAAACUAUUGUGGUCAUUUUCAAAAUCCCACCUUGUUUUCCUUUCUUUGUAGUCAAAUGUAAUGAGAAUGAGGAAAUAGAUAUAAAUCCGCAUUACAAAUCUCACAGGA
This is a long non-coding RNA of Daphnia pulicaria, 1438 nucleotides long. RefSeq lists it as uncharacterized. The transcript has 9 exons. NCBI's taxonomy places the organism in Eukaryota, Metazoa, Arthropoda, Branchiopoda, Diplostraca, Daphniidae. The record is from RefSeq and is a predicted model, not a curated record.